This 521-nucleotide ribosomal RNA is filed under the name Ceratitis cosyra (mango fruit fly). RNAcentral's name for it is "partial 16S ribosomal RNA". The stretch from base 393 to 521 matches the Rfam family "Bacterial large subunit ribosomal RNA", at positions 2473 to 2601 of the family's 2925-position model. Lineage: Eukaryota; Metazoa; Arthropoda; Insecta; Diptera; Tephritidae. The record is from RNAcentral.
GUCUUUUUGGGGUUUUUAAAAAGUCUGACCUGCCCACUGAAUUUUUUUUUGAAUGGCCGCAGUAUUUUAACUGUGCAAAGGUAGCAUAAUCAUUAGUCUUUUAAUUGAAGGCUGGUAUGAAUGGUUGGACGAAGUAUGAGCUGUUUCGUAUAAAAUUGUGUUAGAAUUUUAUAUUUUAGUUAAAAAGCUAAAAUUUAAUUAAAAGACGAGAAGACCCUAUAAAUCUUUAUAUUUAAUAUUGAUUAAAUUUUUUUGAUUAAUUUUAUUUUUUUAAUUUGAAAUAUUUUAUUGGGGUGAUGUUAAAAUUUAAUAAACUUUUAAUUAUAAAUUAAAUCAUUAAUUUAUGAAUAGUUGAUCCAUUAAUAAUGAUUAUAAGAUUAAGUUACUUUAGGGAUAACAGCGUAAUUUUUUUUGAGAGUUCAUAUCGAUAAAAAAGUUUGCGACCUCGAUGUUGGAUUAAGAUAUAUUUUUAGGUGCAGCCGCUUAAAUGUUAAGUCUGUUCGACUUUUAAUUUCUUACAU